UUCAUUUUCGGACUGAUAACAAGAGAAGGCAUCAAAUUGAUUUAAAAGUCGUUGGGUUUCCAUAUUUAACAAACAAAAUCGAGAUAUUCUAUUUUCAGCGUUUCUAGUAUAUAAACAUGUUCUUAGCUAGGAAAGCAGCCUUAAUAACUGGGUCAACCAGUGGGAUUGGACAAGCCACGGCCAAACUUCUGGCAUCCAAGGGAUGCUCCGUUAUUGUAACGGGUUCAAGAUCACCCGAAAACGCCCAAGAACCUUUACAGGACAUUCAAAGCGCGGCUGUUGGUAAUGUACACUACAUUCAAUGUGAUCUCCGGGAGAGUAACAACGUUCUAAAUUUAUGUAAUCAAGCUGACCAGAUAUUCCCCGAGGGAAUCGAUAUCCUUGUAAACAAUGCCGGCGUGCAACAUGUAGGCCCUGUAGAUGAGAUGCCUUUGGAAUUUUGGAACGAAAUUAUACAAGUGAAUUUGACAGUUCCAUUCAUGUUGUGCAAACAUGUAAUUCCAUCUAUGAAGAAAAAAGGUUGGGGAAAAAUCAUUAACAUUUCAUCAGUAUUGGGACUUUUGGCCCAUUGUAAUAAGUCGCCGUAUAUUACAUCAAAGACGGGCCUAGUUGGACUCACGCGGGCUGUUGCUAUGGAUACAGCGGCCUUUGGAAUCACAUGCAAUGCCAUUUGCCCAGCAUGGACCAACACACCACUUGUAGUACCUGAGGCCAAGAUACAUGCUGAAAAAAUGAACAUGUCGCUGGAAGAUGCAAAGAAAGACUUGUUCACAAAAGAUUCACCAUCAGGAAAAGCAACUGAACCAUCACAGAUCGCUGGUAUGGUUCUCUUCUUGUGUUCCCCUGAUGCUGAUAAUAUGACAGGAACCGCCAUUCCCAUGGACGGAGGAGAAACCAUACAUUGAUUUAAUAAUUACUCCGUUUACAUGAUGAAGAUAUAGGGACCACGGUCAGUGUCAACAGUAUUAUAGAAAUCUACACCAUGUCAAAUCAUUAAACUAAAGGCGAUACAAACCCGUGAAAUUCUGUUCGUAUCAACUAAACAUGCAGGGUGAGCUCACGGAUUUCCAACCCGUCAUAAAAAAAAGGAAUAGAUAUGCUGUCAGAACAAUAUACAAGAUGAGAAAGAUCCAGAAGGCCAAAAGGUCUAUUGCAGACGUCACAUCCUUCCAUUCAACUGUGUGGCCUUUCUUAAUUUCUUCCUCGAGCGUUUCCUGAUAAUUGUUAGCUCGAUCGUCCUUCUCUGGCGUGGGAGAAAUCAUCAAAUUCUUUGAAGGUCGACAUGACUUAGAACACCGCAAGCAUUUAUCAACUUUUACCAUUAUUUCAAAUACUUUUGACAAGGGAACUGUCUCAUCUCUGUGAUGCAAACGAAUUUGAAAGGCUGUGAUCACCAACACCAUCACUCCCAUUGUCAUCUGAAGCAAAAUAUAGAUCGUUAGAACAGGAGUACUGUCUGAACUAACUGGCAGCUGGGCACUAAUGAUGGUUAAAAAUACUGCGAAAGACAGGAAGACAGUCAUUGCAUAUGACAUCUUUUCUCCUGCAUCAACGGGCAAGACGAAAACGAGAAUAGUUAGGAGACCCAAGAACAAGAUUGGAGCAAUAAUGUUGAGCACAUAGUAGAGAGGCUUUCUUUUUAUGUGGACUGAAAACGUAACUUUGGAUUCAGCUGAACUUUUGCUAACUUUAGCUUCCGUGUAAGUUAUUUCCCAGACGCCACUCUCCUUAUAGUUGGAAAGAUCGAUCCCUUCUGCAGACUUAAAAAUCUCCACAUCCUGUACUGUAUAACUCCAUACAACGAACACGAUAUCGCACACUUGUUUAUCAUACGGGAAAUACUUCGUAUCGACAGCACAGAGAGUUUGAAAGACCUGGAAAGGUUUCCAGAAUACAUUUCCAUCACUAAGAAUGUCGACGUAGUAGAAGUAUCCUCCAAGCUCUUCAAACUUUUUGAAUCCGUUUCCUAGCACCAGGUCUGGUUUCCAAAUGUCGUUCUGAAAAUAGGGUGGAAGUAUUUUCAACAUUAAAGAGAAUAAAAGUAGUCCAGAUGAUAUGGAGAUUGAUUUACUUAGGCGUUGAAAAGCAAAACUAUUAUGAUUCGGUAUCACGAUGUACAUGUAUAGUACUAAGAUUUUGAACGAUCUGAUGAAUGAAAAGAAGUCUUAAUUUCGCGUAUAAAUAUGAAUUAAAUAUUACCUAUCUCGGUAACCCACUAACAAUUCUUUUCUCUCCCUCUCUUUUAUUUAAAUAUUGUCACAAUUUACGUGUAGAAAACAUAGGUGUUCAAUAUUACCAUUAGUCAUUUAUUUACAUGUAUAAAUAAUCUACAAUCUUGCCGACAAUUCUUUAACUUGACGGUGAAAUUGAAAACAUAUAUGAUUUGAUUUGCACAUAUUUUAUUGUAUAGAUGUAAAACGUAUACGGUACCAAUUUUGAUGUUAUAACAAAAGGAUUGAGCACAUGUUCGUAAAACUUAGAACGCUCUCUCCUAUAUGACAAUUGGUCACAUAAGAUAAUGUUCAAGAAAUGAAACACAAAGGUAUCAAAGGUCAAACGAUGAUUUGCUUUCAUAAAGCAAUUAUAUGAUAAAUCAUAUCUGUUGAUGUGUAUGUACAAUUGAUUAAUAUAUACAUGUAUGUACAAUUGAUUAAUAUAUGCAUGUAGUACGUACAAAGUAAUCGCUUUCAAAAAUUCCAUCAACUCAAAAACGACCAGAACUGAAGAUAGGAAAAUGAGUUUUCAUUAUCUAUGGUACUGAUUGCGUUAUCUCCCCAUAAUAAAACAUGCGUGUCUACUACAUGUAUAUACAAAUUAUCCAUUCUAAAAAUAGCAUUAAAUAGGUCAUUUCUUGGAGCGGUGUAUUUUGCACUUGAGAAAAGGAAAUGGUAAGCAUCUUCUACUUUACCACAAGUAUACAAAGGACUGUCAAUUGUGUUGCAUCUAAAUAAAUCUAUAUUCAAUU
Molecule: RNA transcript, 2965 nt
Organism: Ostrea edulis (European flat oyster)
Lineage: Eukaryota; Metazoa; Mollusca; Bivalvia; Ostreida; Ostreidae
Gene name: D-beta-hydroxybutyrate dehydrogenase-like
Exons: 11
Source: RefSeq, a predicted model, not a curated record